Molecule: ribosomal RNA, 253 nt
Filed under: uncultured archaeon
Lineage: Archaea
Description: partial 16S ribosomal RNA
Rfam family: Archaeal small subunit ribosomal RNA
Source: RNAcentral
UCCCAGCAGUCCAAGUCGCAGCCACAAUUAUUGGGUCUAAAACAUCCGUAGCUUGCUUUUCAAGUCUUCUGUGAAAUCUGGCCUCUUAAGGGUCGGGCGCGCAGAAGAUACUGUUUAGCUAGAGACCGGGAGAUGUAAGAAGUACGUAUAGAGUAGCGGUAAAAUGCGUUGAUCCUAUAUGGACUAACGAUAGCGAAGGCAUCUUACAAUAACGGAUCUGACAGUGAGGGAUGAAGGCUAGGGGCGCAAAUUG